GGCUUAGAGUUUGAUCAUGGCUCAGGAUGAACGCUGGCGGCGUGCCUAACACAUGCAAGUCGAGCGAAGCGGUUUCGAUGAAGUUUUCGGAUGGAUUCGGAAUUGACUGAGCGGCGGACGGGUGAGUAACGCGUGGGUAACCUGCCUCAUACAGGGGGAUAACAGUUAGAAAUGACUGCUAAUACCGCAUAAGCGCACAGGACUGCAUGGUCCAGUGUGAAAAACUCCGGUGGUAUGAGAUGGACCCGCGUCUGAUUAGCUGGUUGGUGGGGUAACGGCCUACCAAGGCGACGAUCAGUAGCCGACCUGAGAGGGUGACCGGCCACAUUGGGACUGAGACACGGCCCAAACUCCUACGGGAGGCAGCAGUGGGGAAUAUUGCACAAUGGGGGAAACCCUGAUGCAGCGACGCCGCGUGAGUGAAGAAGUAUUUCGGUAUGUAAAGCUCUAUCAGCAGGGAAGAAAAUGACGGUACCUGACUAAGAAGCCCCGGCUAACUACGUGCCAGCAGCCGCGGUAAUACGUAGGGGGCAAGCGUUAUCCGGAUUUACUGGGUGUAAAGGGAGCGUAGACGGCGCGGCAAGUCUGAAGUGAAAGCCCGGGGCUUAACCCCGGGACUGCUUUGGAAACUGCCAUGCUGGAGUGCUGGAGAGGUAAGUG
This 660-nucleotide ribosomal RNA is filed under the name uncultured organism. RNAcentral describes it as "bacterial SSU rRNA". It matches the Rfam family "Bacterial small subunit ribosomal RNA", at positions 1 to 663 of the family's 1533-position model. The record is from RNAcentral.